AGGUGGCUUUGGCGUGCUCAGCCGGUUGGUUCUAGCAUGUCUGGAAGGUGGUUCCGUUCUCUAUGGUAGGUGGUUCCGGCGUGUCCGGCACAUGGUUCUGGCACGUCUGAGAGGUGGUUCCGUCAUGCCCGUCAGGUGAUUCCGGAGUGUCUCCCAAGUGGUUCUGGCUUACUCGGCAGGUGAUUUUGGCGUGUCUGGCAGGUGGUUCCAGCGAGUUGAGCAGGUGUUUCCUGCGUGCUCGCCAGGUGGUUUAGGCGUGUCCUGAAGGUGAUUCUGGAGUGUCCGCCAAGUGGUUCCGGUGUAACAGGCAGGUGAUUUUGGCAUGUUCGGCAGUUGGUUCCAGCAAGUCGAGCAGGUGGUUAUGGUGUGCUUGGUAGGGUAUUCAGGCGCGUCCGGCAGAUCAUUCCGGUAUGUCUGGGAGGUGGUUCUGGUGAGUCGAGCAGGUGGUUUCGGUGAGCUCAGCAGGUGCUUCCGGCGUUCCCAGCAUGUGGUUCUGGCAUGUCUGAGAGGUGGUUCCGGCAUGCCCGGCUGGUGAUUCCGAACUGUCUGCCAAGUGCUUCUGGCAUAGCCAGCUGUUGAUUGUGGUGUGACCAGGAGGUCGUUCCAGCGAGUCGAGCAGGUGGUUCUGGCGUGCUUGGCAGUUGGUUCAGGUGUGUCCGGCAGGUGGUUCUGGUCUGUUCAGGAGGCGUUACCGUCAUGUCCGGCAUGUGGCUGUGUCACGUCUGAGAGAUGGUUCCGGCAUGCUCGGCAGGUGAUUCCAGAGUUUCUGCAAAGUGGUUCUGGCGUAACCGGCAGGUGAUUUUGGCAUGUCCGGCAGGUGGUUCUGGGGAGUGGAUCAGGUGGUUCAGGAAUGCUCAGCAGGUUGUCCAGGCGUUUCGGGCAGGUAGUUCCAGUCUGUCCAGUAGGUGCUUUUGCUGUGUCCCGCACAUGAUUCUGGCACUUCUGAGAGGUGGCUCCAGCAUGCCCAGCAGGUGAUCCCGGACUGUCCCCCAUGUGGUUCUGGCGUACCCGGCAUGUGAUUUUGGCGUGUCCAGAACGUGGUUCUGGUGAGUCGAGCAGGUGGUUCUGGCGUGCUGGGCUGGUGGUUCAGGCAUGUCAGGCAGGUUAUUCCUGUCUGUCCGGCAGGUGGUUCUGGCGUGCUCGGCAGGUGCUUCCGGCGUCUCCGGCACGUGCCUCUGGCACGUCUGAGAGGUGGUUCCAGCAUGCCCGGCUGGUGAUUCCACAGUGUCCGGCAAGUGGUUCUGGUAAAGCCGGCAGGUGAUUUUGGCAUAUCUGGCAGGAGGUUCCGGUGAGUCGAGCAGGUGGCUUCGGCAUCCUCGGCAGGUGGUUCCGGCGUGUCCAGUUGGUGGUUCCUGCCUGUACGGUAUGUCCUUCUGGCGUGUCUGGCAUGUAGUUGUGGCACAUCUGAGAGGUGGGUCUGGUAUGCAAGGCAGGUGAUUCCGGAGUGUCCGGCAAGUUGGUCUGGUGUAGCCAACAGGUGAUUUUGGCAUGUCCAGAACGUGGUUCCAGCGAGUCGAGCAGGUGGUUCCGGUGUGCUCGGCAGGUGCUUCCGGUGUCAUUGGCAUGUGGUUCUGGCAUGUCUGAGAGGUGGUUCAGGCAUGCCCGGCAGGUGAUCCUGGAGAAUCCUCCAAGUGGUUCUGGCAUAGCCGGCAGGUGAUUUUGGCAUGUCAUGCAGUUUUUUCUGGCAAGUCAAGCAGGUGGUUCCAGCAUGCUCGCCAGGUGGUUCUGGCGUGUCCGGUACAUGGUUCCAGGACGUCUGAGAGGUGUUUCCGGCAUGCCCGGCAGGUGAUUCCGGAGUGUCCGACAAGUGGUUCCGGCGUGCUCGGCAGGUGAUUUUGAAAUGUUCGGCAGGUGGUUAUGGCGAGGCGAGAAGAUGAGUCCAGCGUGCUCAGCAGGUGGUUCCGGCGUGUACGGCACAUGGUUCUGGCACGUCUGAGAGGUGGUUCUGGGAUGCUCGGCAGGUGAUUCUGGAGUGUCCGCCAAGUGGUUCUGGCGUAGCCGGCCGCUGGUUCAUGCGUGUCUGACAGGUGGUUCCGGUCUGUCCAGGAGGUGGUUCUGGCAUGUCCAGCAUGUGGUUCUGGCAUGUGUGAGACAUGGUUCCAGCAUGCCCAGAAGGUGAUCCGGAGUGUCGGCCAAGUGGUUCUGGCAUAGCUGGCGGGUGAUUUUGGCAUAUCCGGCAUGUGGUUCCAGCGAGUGCAACAGGUGGUUCCGGCGUGCUCGGCAGCUGGUUCCAGCGUGUCCGGAAUGUGGUUUUGGCACGUCUGAGAGGUGGUUCUGGCAUGCCUGGCAUGUCUUUCCACACUGUCCGCCACGUGGUUCCGGCAUGCCCGGCAGGUGAUCCCAGACUGUCCCCCAGAGGGUUCUGGCGUAGGCGGCAGGUGACUUUGGCGUGUCCAGCAGGUGGUUCUGGUGAUUCGAGCAGGUCAUUUCAGCAUGCUGGGCUUGUGGUUCAGGCGUGUCUGGCAGGUUGUUCCGGUAUGUCCAGGUGGUGGUUCCGGGGUGUGUGGCAGGUGGUUCCUGUCUGUCCGGGAGGUGGUUCCGGCGUGCUUGGCAGGUGGUUGGGGCAGGUCCGGCAGGUGGUUCAGGUCUGUCCGGGAUGUGUUUCCGGCGUCUCAGGAACAUGGUUCUGGCACAUCUGAGAGGUGGUUCCGGCAUGCCCAACAGGUGAUUCCGGACUGUCCUCCACGUGGUUCUGGCAUAGCCGGCAUUUGAUUUUGACGUGUCUGUCAGGUGGUUCCGGCGAGUCAAGCAGGUGGCUCCGGCAUGCUCGGCAGGUGGAUCCGCGUGUCCGUGAG
RNAcentral lists this long non-coding RNA (2795 nucleotides) under Equus caballus (horse). Its description in RNAcentral is "lncRNA (ENSECAG00000055743.1)". The record is from RNAcentral. Lineage: Eukaryota; Metazoa; Chordata; Mammalia; Perissodactyla; Equidae.